Molecule: ribosomal RNA, 363 nt
Filed under: uncultured eukaryote
Lineage: Eukaryota
Description: partial 18S ribosomal RNA
Rfam family: Eukaryotic small subunit ribosomal RNA
Source: RNAcentral
UGUAAGCGUAUACCAAAGUUGUUGCAGUUAAAAAGCUCGUAGUUGAACUUCUGGUAGGAGUGUCCCGGCCUUUUUGUUUUUACAAAUUGUAUGCUGUGUGACAUCUCUGGCCAUCCUUCUUCUUUGUUUAAAGAAGAUCUUUCACUGUAAAAAAAUUAGGGUGUUCAAAGCAAAAGUUUCUUUGGAAUAUAUUAGUAUGGGAUGAUAAGAUAGGCUCUAGAUGCUAUUUUGUUGGUUUGCACAUUUAGAGAAUGAUUAACAGGGACAGUUGGGGGUAUUCGUAUUUACAUGUCAGAGGUGAAAUUCUUGGAUUUUGGAAAGACGAACUACUGCGAAAGCAUUUACCAAGGAUGUUUUCAUUAA